UAGUCCACGCCGUAAACGAUGAUAACUAGCUGCUGGGGCUCAUGGAGUUUCGGUGGCGCAGCUAACGCAUAAGUUAAUCCGCCUGGGGAGUACGUUCGCAAGAUUAAAACUCAAAGGAAUUGACGGGGGCCUGCACAAGCGGUGGAGCAUGUGUUUAAUUCGAAGCAACGCGCAGAACCUUACCAACGUUGNACAUCCUCAUCGCGAUUUCCAGAGAUGGAUUUCUUCAGUUCGGCUGGAUGAGUGACAGGUGCUGCAUGGCUGUCGUCAGCUCGUGUCGUGAGAUGUUGGGUUAAGUCCCGCAACGAGCGCAACCCUCGCCUUUAGUUGCCAUCAUUUAGUUGGGUACUCUAAAGGAACCGCCGGUGAUAAGCCGGAGGAAGGUGGGGAUGACGUCAAGUCCUCAUGGCCCUUACGCGUUGGGCUACACACGUGCUACAAUGGCGACUACAGUGGGCAGCGACCAUGCGAGUGGAAGCUAAUCUCCAAAAGUCGUCUCAGUUCGGAUUGUUCUCUGCAACUCGAGAGCAUGAAGGCGGAAUCGCUAGUAAUCGCGGAUCAGCAUGCCGCGGUGAAUACGUUCCCAGGCCUUGUACACACCGCCCGUCACACCAUGGGAGUUGGUUUCACCCGAAGGCAGUGCGCUAACCGCAAGGAGGCAGCUGACCACGGUGGGAUCAGCGACUGGGGUGAAGUCGUAACAAGGUAGCCGUAGGGGAACCUGCGGCUGGAUCACCUCCUUAAGCUUGGAUUCCCGGGC
RNAcentral lists this ribosomal RNA (760 nucleotides) under uncultured Sphingobium sp. RNAcentral's name for it is "bacterial SSU rRNA". It matches the Rfam family "Bacterial small subunit ribosomal RNA", at positions 791 to 1533 of the family's 1533-position model. The record is from RNAcentral. Lineage: Bacteria; Pseudomonadati; Pseudomonadota; Alphaproteobacteria; Sphingomonadales; Sphingobiaceae.